GCCACAUGAUGUACUUGUAGAUAAUUUGAGCACUCUGUGUGAUGCUGACUUGUAUCUAUCACCCAAUAACUGAUGGUU
This 78-nucleotide small nucleolar RNA is filed under the name Leptobrachium leishanense (Leishan spiny toad). RNAcentral describes it as "Small nucleolar RNA SNORD83 (ENSLLEG00000010445.1)". It matches the Rfam family "Small nucleolar RNA SNORD83". From Rfam's summary of the family: U83 (SNORD83) and U84 (SNORD84) are members of the C/D class of snoRNA which contain the C (UGAUGA) and D (CUGA) box motifs. They act as guanine methylation guides but lack complementarity to ribosomal RNA. U83 and U84 are spliced from introns 5 and 4 of the BAT1 gene in mammals. The record is from Rfam by way of RNAcentral. Lineage: Eukaryota; Metazoa; Chordata; Amphibia; Anura; Megophryidae.